AUGGGGCUCCUCGACCAGCUCUGGGACGAGACUGUCGCCGGCCCGCGGCCGGACCACGGCCUCGGCAGGCUCCGCAAGUACUCCUCCUUCUCGCCCUCGACCGCGGCGGCCGCGGACGUCGCGCCGGCGGUGACCCACAGCAUCACUAUCGCCCGGCCGCCAUCUCUCUCGGUGCCAUCCGGCGAAUCAAGCUCCGUGCCGCCGUCCCCGGCCAGCGCGCCGGACUCCCCGUUCGCAGCAGCUACCAGUAGCAUACGGAAAGUGGACGGAUGGAGGGCGUUCCGCCGGAAAUCCAAGAUGGCCAACGUCGACGUCGUCCGGGCGGAGGCGACCGUCGGGCCCAGGAGCCCCACCGUGUACGACUGGGUGGUGAUCAGUUCAUUGGACCGAUGA
RNAcentral lists this ribosomal RNA (393 nucleotides) under Triticum aestivum (bread wheat). RNAcentral's name for it is "partial small subunit ribosomal RNA". Lineage: Eukaryota; Viridiplantae; Streptophyta; Magnoliopsida; Poales; Poaceae. The record is from RNAcentral.